RNAcentral lists this long non-coding RNA (2203 nucleotides) under Pelobates cultripes (western spadefoot toad). The record is from RNAcentral. Lineage: Eukaryota; Metazoa; Chordata; Amphibia; Anura; Pelobatidae.
AAAAAAAAAAAAAAAGAGAGACAAAAGGAGACACUUUAUCACCCACCCUAUCCUGAUAUCCGGAGACAGGUCGUAUAUUUGUAGAAUGUGUGUUGAAAAAGUGUAAUGUAUUACCUAUUUUUUAUGGGGGUUAAUUGCAUUCUCUCAGUAUCAAGGGUGUACGAUGCAAAUAUACACAUGGGAUACCUACAGUACCAAUGAAGUAAAAUCCAGACUGUCUAGUCGGACAGUAUCGGGGUUUAUAUAGCCAGGGCAAUAAUAGUACAAAGGUCCCGAUACGCUCUCUACCCUCCCCACACAAAAAAAAAAUUUUAAAAAAAUUUCACAUCUCUAUCUUGUAUCAACAGGGUGGUUGAUAUUAAUAUUAAGGUAUAUCAAUAUAGGGGUGGAAGUAUUCAGAUAAAUCCCUUAGAUCUCUCAACCUCCUUAAGAUUACAAAGCAGGAAAACACACUCCCCCCCCUCCCCUCCCCUCCCAUUUCAGAUACGCAGGUAAUAAAACCCAAUCUCCUAACUUUGUGCUCAUAGUCUCCUAAAGUAUCCAGAAUAUAAGAGUGGAUUUGCCCAACGGGCUGGUACGUAGGUCACAUACCCUCACAGAUAGUGGUUCCUCUCCCGCACAGAGAGCGAACUCGUUUUCCCCCUCCUGGUUACCCCCCUCCCUCACCCUACCACCCCCUCCCCCUCAGGAACAGCCGUAUCCCAGUUAAGUGACUAGGUCAGAGGACCCAUACUACAGGGAUAGAUUAAUCCCCCGAUCUACUAAAAUCUGAUCCCUACUCAAGAAGGUACCUAGAUUCGGGGGUGGACUGUUCACAUUCCUGUUACUCCUACUUAUUGGUUAUACUGUUCGAAUAAGAGUUCACACAGUUAUCAGAAAGCUACUUAAUCAACUGCAACAAUCUGAUAGGACCUGAGUGGUCGUAGAGACCAUAAAAUACACUGCAUCAGAUCAUAUAUACAUAACAUCACACGUCAACUUUAAGAAAAUUCCUUCACUAGAGACAGUGACACAACUACACCCUGAGCUGGUUCAUCAUGACGUCCAUCCGCUUUCACUCACAAAAUGCAAAAGGGUUAAAUACACCUGAAAAAAGGGCGCUAGCUCUAGCAGACUUCUACAGACACAAAGCUGACAUAGUGUAUAUCCAGGAGACUCAUUUCAGGAAAGACAAGGCCCCCUCUCUCAGAAACCGGAGGUAUCCCAAGGGCUAUUUCAGUCACUAUGUUGGGGCAAAGGCCAGAGGAGUGGCGAUAUUGAUAAGUCACCAUCUUCCUUUUCAAUUUCAUGACCAACUUCAAGAUGAGGCAGGGAGAUAUAUAUUUGUGAAAGGGAAAAUAGGGAAUGUGAAAGUCACGUUAGCGAACCUAUACCUCCCCAAUAAGAAACAAUGCCAGGCAAUGUCAAAGAUCCUGAAUAAACUCACCAGAUUUCAGGAAGGCAUACUGGUUAUAGGAGGUGAUAUUAACAUACCUCUAGACGGCGAAUUAGACUCCACCUCUACCCACAGCGAAUAUUUAGCCCCGGCGCGCAAGAGAUUUCGCAAUAUCUUACAUGAAGCCAGACUAUACGACAGUUGGAGGGCCCUCCACCCGAUGAAAAAAGACUAUUCCUUCUACUCCCCACCAACGGGUAGCUACUCCCGAAUAGAUACAUUGUUUCUACAACACAAACACCUACCCCUACUCAAAAGCGCAUCGUACGGUCAGAUAACGUGGUCAGACCACGCUCCCCUUUCGGUGGACCUCACAAUCCCCUCAGUCCCAGAAAUGCGCCCACAUUGGAGAUUAAACGACCUUCUCCUAAAUAACCCUACAUACAUAGCAAGCAUACAGGAACACUUAAAGCGGCACUGUCAUGCCGAACUUACCUUUCCUCAAUCUCUUCCUCUUCUCCCCCUCUCUCAGGAUCUGUUAUUCUUUUCUUCCUGUCUUCUUUAAUUUUCUAUAAAAUCAUAAGACAAAGAAGGGACUCUUUGCCUUAUGGAGGAUUCCUCCGCUUGACCAGCUCUGACCAGCGGAGGAGCAAAGUGUGCUUCAUUUCCACUGGUCAGAGCAAUUUUCCCAUGAUCCUUACCUUCCCUCUGUGUUCCCACAAUGCUUCCUGUCACUUUCCACAAAACUACCGAAUUGUGUUCUAACUGAAUGACAACAGUAUGUUCGUUUCUUUUAGAACGCAAUUCGGCACUUUAUUCGGAUCGGAG